GGCCAGACUCCUACGGGAGGCAGCAGUGGGGGAUAUUGCACAAUGGGGGAAACCCUGAUGCAGCGACGCCGCGUGGGUGAAGAAGCGCCCCGGCGCGUAAAGCCCUGUCAGCAGGGAAGAAAAUGACGGUACCUGAAGAAGAAGCCCCGGCUAACUACGUGCCAGCAGCCGCGGUAAUACGUAGGGGGCAAGCGUUAUCCGGAUUUACUGGGUGUAAAGGGGGCGCAGACGGCGAUGCAAGCCAGGAGUGAAAGCCCGGGGCCCAACCCCGGGACUGCUCUUGGAACUGCGUGGCUGGAGUGCAGGAGGGGCAGGCGGAAUUCCUGGUGUAGCGGUGAAAUGCGUAGAUAUCAGGAGGAACACCGGUGGCGAAGGCGGCCUGCUGGACUGCAACUGACGUUGAGGCCCGAAAGCGUGGGGAGCAAACAGGAUUAGAUACCCUUGUA
Molecule: ribosomal RNA, 446 nt
Filed under: uncultured bacterium
Lineage: Bacteria
Description: bacterial SSU rRNA
Rfam family: Bacterial small subunit ribosomal RNA
Source: RNAcentral